RNAcentral lists this unclassified non-coding RNA (723 nucleotides) under Hevea brasiliensis (rubber tree). Lineage: Eukaryota; Viridiplantae; Streptophyta; Magnoliopsida; Malpighiales; Euphorbiaceae. The record is from RNAcentral.
GUUGAUUUGGAUCUCCAUCUGCUUUCAAGCCUGGUAACCAUCCCUGAAUGUUUGUGAUUGUGGGAGAUUCAAUUCUCUUAGGUUCUGGUGCGGAGACAACAAACUUGUAUCCGCCAGUAGUUGCAGUAGCUGGUUGACCAGUUGCAUCAUUCCUCUUGAUGUCAGACAACACAGUAUCAAUGUCAUCAUUCUCAAAAGCGAAAUACACAGGAUAAGGUAUGUUGGCAUGUAUAAGUAAUUUUUCAAGCUCUGCCAAUACAGUCUUCAUCAGCCCUUUUUCAUGCACCUGAUCCUCACUCCCCGUGGCACCUCUAUCUUCAAAAUCAAAGAUUUGAGGAAGCAAAAACAACAAUCCUCCCAGAGGCUUUCUUUGAGUAAUAUACUCUUUGACAAAAGUAAUGUUGAGUUCGCGAAUAGGGAUGAUGACGACAGUACGCGAAAGAUCGGCACCAGGAGUGAAAUGCAAGGAGCCGGCGUGAUGAUUGAGGGUAGCGAGGCGAGAUCCGAAGGGGACGCCAGAGAUGUCGUACUGAAUGAGACGGUAGACGUCGACGACGGUGGCAGCGUCACAAAGCUCGACGCAGGCGACGAGAAUGAAGACGAGGGCGAUCAUGGAAUACAUGGAGUCCAGCAUUUGUGACUGGCGCGAUUUGAAGGGAAACAUGAUAGUGGAAAGGAAAGGAUUGGACGGGAUGAAUCUAGGGUUCUAACAACUGAUUUGAU